GACGAACGCUGGCGGCGUGCUUAACACAUGCAAGUCGAACGAUGAAGCCGGAGCUUGCUCUGGUGAAUUAGUGGCGAACGGGUGAGUAACACGUGAGUAACCUGCCCUUGACUCUGGGAUAACUGCUAGAAAUGGUAGCUAAUACCGGAUACGACCCUCGGAGGCAUCUCCAGGGGGUGGAAAGAAUUUCGGUCAAGGAUGGACUCGCGGCCUAUCAGCUAGUUGGUGAGGUAAUGGCUCACCAAGGCGACGACGGGUAGCCGGCCUGGGAGGGGGACCGGCCACACUGGGACUGAGACACGGCCCAGACUCCUACGGGAGGAAGCAGUGGGGAAUAUUGCACAAUGGGCGCAAGCGUGAUGCAGCAACGCCGCGUGAGGGAUGACGGCCUUCGGGUUGUAAACCUCUUUUAGUAGGGAAGAAGCGAAAGUGACGGUACCUGCAGAAAAAGCACCGGCUAACUACGUGCCAGCCGCCGCGGUAA
This 484-nucleotide ribosomal RNA is filed under the name uncultured bacterium. RNAcentral describes it as "partial 16S ribosomal RNA". It matches the Rfam family "Bacterial small subunit ribosomal RNA", at positions 28 to 523 of the family's 1533-position model. The record is from RNAcentral.